CGUAGGGUGCGAGCGUUAAUCGGAAUUACUGGGCGUAAAGCGUGCGCAGGCGGUUCGCUAAGACCGAUGUGAAAUCCCCGGGCUUAACCUGGGAACUGCAUUGGUGACUGGCGGGCUAGAGUGUGGCAGAGGGGGGUAGAAUUCCACGUGUAGCAGUGAAAUGCGUAGAGAUGUGGAGGAAUACCGAUGGCGAAGGCAGCCCCCUGGGCCAACACUGACGCUCAUGCACGAAAGCGUGGGGAGCAAACAGGAUUAGAUACCCUGGUAGUCCACGCCCUAAACGAUGUCAACUAGUUGUUGGGGAUUCAUUUCCUUAGUAACGUAGCUAACGCGUGAAGUUGACCGCCUGGGGAGUACGGUCGCAAGAUUA
RNAcentral lists this ribosomal RNA (370 nucleotides) under uncultured organism. RNAcentral describes it as "bacterial SSU rRNA". It matches the Rfam family "Bacterial small subunit ribosomal RNA", at positions 526 to 896 of the family's 1533-position model. The record is from RNAcentral.